RNAcentral lists this ribosomal RNA (468 nucleotides) under uncultured bacterium. RNAcentral describes it as "partial 16S ribosomal RNA". It matches the Rfam family "Bacterial small subunit ribosomal RNA", at positions 28 to 507 of the family's 1533-position model. The record is from RNAcentral.
GACGAACGCUGGCGGCGUGCUUAACACAUGCAAGUCGAACGGAAAGGCCCUGCUUUUGUGGGGUGCUCGAGUGGCGAACGGGUGAGUAACACGUGAGUAACCUGCCCUUGACUUUGGGAUAACUUCAGGAAACUGGGGCUAAUACCGGAUAGGAGCUCCUGCUGCAUGGUGGGGGUUGGAAAGUUUCGGCGGUUGGGGAUGGACUCGCGGCUUAUCAGCUUGUUGGUGGGGUAGUGGCUUACCAAGGCUUUGACGGGUAGCCGGCCUGAGAGGGUGACCGGCCACAUUGGGACUGAGAUACGGCCCAGACUCCUACGGGAGGCAGCAGUGGGAAAUAUUGCACAGUGGGCGGGAGCCUGAUGCGGCAACGCCGCGUGCGGGAUGACGGCCUUCGGGUUGUAAACCGCUGUCGCCUGUGACGAAGCGUGAGUGACGGUAAUGGGUAAAGAAGCACCGGCUAACUACGUG